RNAcentral lists this ribosomal RNA (429 nucleotides) under uncultured bacterium. RNAcentral describes it as "bacterial SSU rRNA". It matches the Rfam family "Bacterial small subunit ribosomal RNA", at positions 355 to 776 of the family's 1533-position model. The record is from RNAcentral.
UAGGGAAUCUUCGGCAAUGGGCGAAAGCCUGACCGAGCAACGCCGCGUGAGCGAUGAAGGCCUUCGGGUCGUAAAGCUCUGUUGUUAGAGAAGAACAAGUACGAGAGUAACUGCUCGUACCUUGACGGUACCUAACCAGAAAGCCACGGCUAACUACGUGCCAGCAGCCGCGGUAAUACGUAGGUGGCAAGCGUUAUCCGGAAUUAUUGGGCGUAAAGCGCGCGCAGGCGGUCUCCUAAGUCUGAUGUGAAAGCCCACGGCUCAACCGUGGAGGGUCAUUGGAAACUGGGAGACUUGAGUGCAGGAGAGAAAAGUGGAAUUCCACGUGUAGCGGUGAAAUGCGUAGAGAUGUGGAGGAACACCAGUGGCGAAGGCGGCUUUUUGGCCUGUAACUGACGCUGAGGCGCGAAAGCGUGGGGAGCAAACAGG